AGGGCUUUAGUUUAAUUAAAAUAUCUGAUUUGCAUUUAGAAGAUGCGGAGUAACGUCUGUAAGUCCUA
Molecule: non-coding RNA, 68 nt
Organism: Danio rerio (zebrafish)
Lineage: Eukaryota; Metazoa; Chordata; Actinopteri; Cypriniformes; Danionidae
Source: Ensembl